AUUGAACGCUGGCGGCAUGCCUUACGCAUGCAAGUCGAACGGCAGCAUAGAGAGCUUGCUCUCUGAUGGCGAGUGGCGAACGGGUGAGUAAAGCAUCGGAACGUACCGUGUAGUGGGGGAUAACGUAGCGAAAGUUACGCUAAUACCGCAUACGCACUGAGGUGGAAAGCAGGGGAUCGCAAGACCUUGCGCUAUACGAGCGGCCGAUGUCAGAUUAGCUAUUUGGUAGGGUAAAGGCCUACCAAGGCGACGAUCUGUAGCGGGUCUGAGAGGAUGAUCCGUCACACUGGGACGGAAAGAGGGCCGAUACUCCUACGGGAGGCAGCAGUGGGGAAUUUUGGACAAUGGGGGCAACCCUGAUCCAGCCAUGCCGCGUGAGUGAAGAAGGCCUUCGGGUUGUAAAGCUCUUUCGGCCGGGAAGAAAUCGCACAGGCUAAUACUCUGUGUGGAUGACGGUACCGGCAUAAGAAGCACCGGCUAACUACGUGCCAGCCGCCGCCGUAA
This 504-nucleotide ribosomal RNA is filed under the name uncultured bacterium. RNAcentral's name for it is "partial 16S ribosomal RNA". It matches the Rfam family "Bacterial small subunit ribosomal RNA", at positions 30 to 523 of the family's 1533-position model. The record is from RNAcentral.